GCAACUGAGUUUACAUACCAGAUAAUGUUUUCUUCUUUUUUUAUUUUUUUGCUUGCUAGGUGCCCCAUGUAUCUUCCAAAGUGACAAUGAACAGAGUUCACUUCAGCUUUUUACCACAAAGUUCAUGAUAAUAUGGAAAUCCCACCAACCACAAGGAUCUGCAGAACCUGUAAAUGGGGAUAUAUGAACAAGCUUCUACCAGCCAGGUGGUUGGACUGAAGUCAGUUUCUCUCUGCCUUAAUUAUGGGAGAAUAUGCUUUAAUCAAAACCAGUUAUAAUGAUGCCUGCUAAGAAAAGUAACUGAUCAUACCUUCUUUCUGAAAGAACAUAGCACUUCUGCACAUCAUGAAAGAGGAAUCAAUCCUCUUUGGAUUAACCCUUAGCUCAAGCUCCAAGCACCAAGAUAAGGUCUGUAGCUGGCACCAUUGAGUCUACAAGUUAUCAAGAAAUGUUGAUGAACCACUAUACUCCCUCUACUGAUUAACUGCCCUAACUCCUUUAAAAACCCCUGGGCCAGACAGAAACCUUGGAGUUGGCCUUUAGACAAGAGUUCACCUUCUCCCCAGAUGAUCAGUCUCCUGAAUAAAGCUAUUAUUCCUUUCCAUUCAAAACUCAUCUCUUGAGUAUUGACUUGUUGAGUGAUGGGCAGCCAAACUUGGGUAUCAGUAACAAAUUUUGGUGAGCCAACCAGGAGGCAAUGCUACUGUGGCAUUCAGUUCCCCUGAGAAUUUCAAGAAGGCCCAAGCUAGGAACUUGGAUGGCCACAGGAAGUUAGCUGCCAGGGAUUUGUUGGUGUCGGGGAGGAAAUCUGGAGGAUCUGUCCCUAUAGCAGCCAAG
RNAcentral lists this long non-coding RNA (837 nucleotides) under Mustela putorius furo (domestic ferret). RNAcentral's name for it is "lncRNA (ENSMPUG00000025765.1)". The record is from RNAcentral. Lineage: Eukaryota; Metazoa; Chordata; Mammalia; Carnivora; Mustelidae.